GGGGAAUCUUCCGCAAUGGACGAAAGUCUGACGGAGCAACGCCGCGUGAGUGAUGACGGCCUUCGGGUUGUAAAGCUCUGUUAAUCGGGACGAAAGGCCUUCUUGCGAAUAGUUAGAAGGAUUGACGGUACCGGAAUAGAAAGCCACGGCUAACUACGUGCCAGCAGCCGCGGUAAUACGUAGGUGGCAAGCGUUGUCCGGAAUUAUUGGGCGUAAAGCGCGCGCAGGCGGAUUGGUCAGUCUGUCUUAAAAGUUCGGGGCUUAACCCCGUGAUGGGAUGGGAACUGCCAAUCUAGAGUAUCGGAGAGGAAAGUGGAAUUCCUAGUGUAGCGGUGAAAUGCGUAGAUAUUAGGAAGAACACCAGUGGCGAAGGCGACUUUCUGGACGAAAACUGACGCUGAGGCGCGAAAGCCAGGGGAGCGAACGGGAUUAGAUACCCCGGUAGUCCUGGCCGUAAACGAUGGGUACUAGGUGUAGGAGGUAUCGACCCCUUCUGUGCCGGAGUUAACGCAAUAAGUACCCCGCCUGGGGAGUACGACCGCAAGGUUG
RNAcentral lists this ribosomal RNA (549 nucleotides) under uncultured bacterium. RNAcentral's name for it is "bacterial SSU rRNA". It matches the Rfam family "Bacterial small subunit ribosomal RNA", at positions 356 to 896 of the family's 1533-position model. The record is from RNAcentral.